AUUGAACGCUGGCGGCAGGCCUAACACAUGCAAGUCGAGCGGAUGAAGGGAGCUUGCUCCUGGAUUCAGCGGCGGACGGGUGAGUAAUGCCUAGGAAUCUGCCUGGUAGUGGGGGAUAACGUCCGGAAACGGGCGCUAAUACCGCAUACGUCCUGAGGGAGAAAGUGGGGGAUCUUCGGACCUCACGCUAUCAGAUGAGCCUAGGUCGGAUUAGCUAGUUGGUGGGGUAAAGGCCUACCAAGGCGACGAUCCGUAACUGGUCUGAGAGGAUGAUCAGUCACACUGGAACUGAGACACGGUCCAGACUCCUACGGGAGGCAGCAGUGGGGAAUAUUGGACAAUGGGCGAAAGCCUGAUCCAGCUAUGCCGCGUGAGUGAAGAAGGUCUUCGGAUUGUAAAGCACUUUAAGUUGGGAGGAAGGGCAGUAAGUUAAUACCUUGCUGUUUUGACGUUACCAACAGAAUAAGCACCGGCUAACUUCGUG
This 484-nucleotide ribosomal RNA is filed under the name uncultured bacterium. RNAcentral describes it as "partial 16S ribosomal RNA". It matches the Rfam family "Bacterial small subunit ribosomal RNA", at positions 30 to 507 of the family's 1533-position model. The record is from RNAcentral.